GCAAAGUGCAGAUGGCCUGAGGAGGGAAGCUGACUUGCUUAGAGACAUUAGAACAGAGCAACGCCCCCCACCCCCUCGACAUUCUUGGGGUAGAUCCAAGAGGGAAGGCCUGGGACCGAGAACGGAAUGGAUCUUCUUACACCUCCGUUUCACAGGAGAAGCCCCCGCUUGCUCAAGAACCGCCCAAUCCAGCUUCAGUGCGUGGAAAAGCCACCAGCCUGCUCUCAACCCAGGAGACCUGUC
Molecule: long non-coding RNA, 243 nt
Organism: Mastomys coucha (southern multimammate mouse)
Lineage: Eukaryota; Metazoa; Chordata; Mammalia; Rodentia; Muridae
Exons: 3
Source: RefSeq, a predicted model, not a curated record